Molecule: ribosomal RNA, 329 nt
Filed under: Pantoea sp.
Lineage: Bacteria; Pseudomonadati; Pseudomonadota; Gammaproteobacteria; Enterobacterales; Erwiniaceae
Description: bacterial SSU rRNA
Rfam family: Bacterial small subunit ribosomal RNA
Source: RNAcentral
CAGGUGCUGCAUGGCUGUCGUCAGCUCGUGUUGUGAAAUGUUGGGUUAAGUCCCGCAACGAGCGCAACCCUUAUCCUUUGUUGCCAGCGAUUCGGUCGGGAACUCAAAGGAGACUGCCGGUGAUAAACCGGAGGAAGGUGGGGAUGACGUCAAGUCAUCAUGGCCCUUACGAGUAGGGCUACACACGUGCUACAAUGGCGCAUACAAAGAGAAGCGACCUCGCGAGAGCAAGCGGACCUCACAAAGUGCGUCGUAGUCCGGAUCGGAGUCUGCAACUCGACUCCGUGAAGUCGGAAUCGCUAGUAAUCGUGGAUCAGAAUGCCACGGUG